GGAUAAACGCUGGCGGCGCACAUAAGACAUGCAAGUCGAACGGGAACUUGUUGAAGUUAUCUGAUAUAAAGUUCUAGUGGCGGACUGGUGAGUAAUGUAUAAAGCAACCUGCCUAUAAGAGGGGGAAUAACAGUGAGAAAUCAUUGCUAAUACCGCAUAAGCUGUGAGAAUGGCAUCAUUCAAACAGAAAAGGAAGCAAUUCCGCUUAUAGAUGGGCUUAUAUCUGAUUAGCUAGUUGGUGAGGGUAACGGCCUACCAAGGCGAUGAUCAGUAGCCGGACUGAGAGGUUGAACGGCCACAUUGGGACUGAGAUACGGCCCAGACUCCUACGGGAGGCAGCAGUCGGGAAUAUUGCGCAAUGGAGGAAACUCUGACGCCAGUGACGCCGCGUGCAGGAAGAAGGUUUUAGGAUUGUAAACUGCUUUAGAUAGGGAAGAAACAAAUGACGGUACCUAUAGAAUAAGCUCCGGCUAACUACGUGCCAGCAGCUGC
RNAcentral lists this ribosomal RNA (492 nucleotides) under uncultured bacterium. RNAcentral's name for it is "bacterial SSU rRNA". It matches the Rfam family "Bacterial small subunit ribosomal RNA", at positions 27 to 518 of the family's 1533-position model. The record is from RNAcentral.